AUCGAUAUGUGUGAAAUCCAUGAGACAAUUAUGACGUCAAACGCAAAUAAUUGUCGUUGUAAAUAUUGAGUUAUAAUAAUUACUUUAAAACAAUGUAAGAGUAAUUGUGAAUCAUGAUAUCUUAUGUACAUAUGAGUACCAAGAGAUGGGAUGUUUGUGAAUUGCAUAGUGUUAAAUCAUGCCACACAUAAUACUGUAGGAUUGACUUUCAUUGAAAUGGCUUAAAAAAGGGAACAAUAAAUGAACGAAACCAAGGAUAUAUUGUUUCCAUUGAGGUAAAAUUCCCAAAUCAAAAUCAAGCAAUAAUACAUGUCAAUACCAGGUAUUUCAUAGACCUACUCAUUUUGGAACAAGUAAAAAUAAUUGGUCAAACUACAUACAGCGUGUCGAAUUUCGCUCCAGACUCAUGAAUUUUAUAUAUUAUAUAUAAUCAUCAACUAUCACAGUCAUAAAGACUAUAAAAGUAUGCUUAAAAAUACAAAGGCCAAAAUCUGAAAAGCUCAGAACGUCCGUUAUCAGACUAUGGAAAGUGUGUGUAAUGUGUAAAUAACCGUCAUAAGCUACAAGUGUCAACAUUAAACUAUCAUAACAAGAAACGUUAUAUACUGUAUGUUACACAGUGUGAUCGUAAAACUAGAAAGGCUUAAUACGGUAUGAUAUAUACCAAAAUAAUAUAUAAUCAUUGGAAAGCAUACUUCAGCCUGUCUUUUAGGUGAAACAUCAUAAAUGGAAAGCAUAAUUCAGUAUGAUGUAAAGUGAAACUUCUUAAUUGGAAAGGCUGUAUUCACUUUUCAAGUGGACCAUCAUGACUGGAAACAACUUAUAGGAUAUAACUAAUCGAAUAUGCUCAUCAUAUGACUAUCGUAAUCGGAUGGGCUCAUCAUCGGACCAUUUCAAACAGAUAUAUUUAUAAUCAUCAGGCCCUCUUAUUCGAAUAGAUGCAUCCACGGACACGACCAAUCGGGUAUACUCAUAAUCAAUCAGGCCAAUUUAAUCGGACAGACUCAUCACUGGACUAUUCUUAUUAGAUAUAAUAUAUAUCGGGCCCUCUUAUUUGGAUCGACUCAUCAACGGACACUGUCGAUUUGAUAUACUCAUCAUCAGACCAUUUAAUAGGAUAGACGCAUCAUUCGACCAUCCUAAUUGGAUAUACUCAUCGUAGGACACUCCUUAAGGAAUGUACUCAUCAUCAGGCCAUCUCAAGGAAUGUGCUCAUUAUCAGGCUAUCUUAAUCGGAUUAACUCAUCAUCGGACACCCCCCAAUCGAAUAUACUCAUUAUCAGGCCAUUACAAUUGGAUAUACUCAUCAUAAGAUGAGCCCAUCAUAUAGCUUUAUCGUCAGAUAGGCUUAUACAGCAUCUGACAAAUUAUUCGUUUAGUGUUAAACAUGAUUAUUUUCAAACAACAAAUUAGGAUAUGUUUAGAAAUAUUCUUAUCAAUGUUACGAUCUACAGACUGUGCAGUAAUUCAAACAACUUGUGCAUUUAAUACCGAGUUUCCUUUUCGGUUCGGUAUGAAUAUAAACACAAUAUUAAUUAAAAAGUCUUAAAUAAAAC
RNAcentral lists this long non-coding RNA (1556 nucleotides) under Mytilus galloprovincialis (Mediterranean mussel). The record is from RNAcentral. Lineage: Eukaryota; Metazoa; Mollusca; Bivalvia; Mytilida; Mytilidae.